RNAcentral lists this ribosomal RNA (216 nucleotides) under Glomeromycotina sp. RNAcentral describes it as "partial small subunit ribosomal RNA". The stretch from base 40 to 216 matches the Rfam family "Eukaryotic small subunit ribosomal RNA", at positions 686 to 864 of the family's 1831-position model. The record is from RNAcentral. Lineage: Eukaryota; Fungi; Glomeromycota.
GGGUCAGUAGGUUGGUCGUGCCACCGGUACGUACUGGUCUCACUGAUUCCUCCUUCCUGAAGAACCGUAAUGCCAUUAAUUUGGUGUUGCGGGGAAACAGGACUUUUACUUUGAAAAUAUUAGAGUGUUUAAAGCAAGCUAACGCUUGAAUACAUUAGCAUGGAAUAAUGAAAUAGGACGAUCGAUCCUAUUUUGUUGGUUUCUAGGAUUGACGUA